GUUCGACUUGUGAUUUUGUGAUGGGAAAUCCAGCAUAUCUAUCUUGUUUGCUGUGUCAUAAAAUAAUAAUAAUAAUAAUAAUAAUAAUAAUCUAUAUAUAUAUAUAAAAGAGUGAUGGCAUCAGGGCAGCGGACAAAACAACAAAACUACAGGCCCCCCAACCUUGAAAUUUGACAACACAACCCAUCAUUCACGGCUCUAGGUUGAUACAACAAAAAAGAAAAGAAAAAUAAAGUCCUAAUUACAGGGAGAGGAAUAAUAGUUUUUAUCCAAUUGCUGCCAGUUAGAAGGCUAAGCUCCGCCCACUUGGUCUCCUAGCAACCUCCUCAGCCCAGGGGACAGGCACAGUUAGGCCUCACUUAGGCCUCUUCCACAGAUUAUCAGAUUUUAACUGGAUUAUAUGGCAGUGUAGACUCAAGGCUCUUCCACACAGCUAUAUAACCCAUUUAGAAUCUUAUAUUAUCUGCUUUGAACUGGAUUAUCUUGACUCCACACUGCCAUAUAAUCCACUUCAGUGUGCAUACUAAACAUAAAGACAACCAUACAACAGACAUUCAAUACCACCACUACCUCAACAAUUUCUCACCAACACCACCAGACAACGCCACAGCAACGCGUGGCCGGGCACAGCUAGUAAUAAUAAUAACUUUAUUUGUAUCCCGCCUCCAUCUCCCCGAAGGGACUCAGGGUGGCUAACAUGGGGCCAAGCCCAAACAAUUACAAUAAAACAAAAUAAAAUACAUACAAGACAGACGACAACAUCCAAUAAAAUGAGAGAAGCCUCCCAGCAAUACAGCCAGGCAUCCCCUGAGCAACGUCUCUGUAGAUGGCCAAUUCUCUCACACCAGAGCGACGCUUUUGACAUGAUUAAUAAAGCAGGAAAAGUUAUGGCAGAUGUCUUCUGGGGUUCAGAGGGAGUCCUGCUAGUGGACAUCAGGCCCAAAGGGAGCUUUCUCCCUUAUCACCAAUGUCCAAGCUUGUCUUAGAGGUUGGUUUUAUAAUAAGGGUAGAUUCCUGUUCUCCAAAUAUGACCCAGUCUGGACCCAGCCCAUUAAAUAAUUCUUGCAAAGAUCUAGCAUAAACUGUGAGUAUUAGUAUCUUUAUCUGCAGUUACCAUUCAUCUCAGACAUCUUUUCAAUAAAUGUGUUUAACAACAUCUCUGUUGGAGAAGUAUUGCAAUGAUUUAACAUCUCUGUACCACCUUUCAUGCACCAAAUCCUUUCCAGCCCAUUUCUUAUUUAUCAGGGAAAAAAUAAAUUUCUCAGUGUUAAUGGUACGGCACUUUACCUGGCAAAUCUUUCAGUAAAAAAUAUCUCCAUGGUUUUUCUGAGGUCUGCAAUCUGGAAUGGGUAAUUGUAACAGAUCAGGGAGGGGGCAGUUAUUUUCUCUUGGGACUCUCUAUAUACCAUAUAGGUCAGGGGUAUCAAAUUCAUUUUCACUGAGGGCCACAUCAGGCUUAUGGUGUGUAUGAUGUGUAACGGUAUGACUGUAUAAAUGUAACUAUGUUGCUCUGGCAUUGAGAACUCCCAAUACCACACUAUUAUUCACAAAGCUUUGUAGUCUGAAGAAUCUACUGAAAAACUGAAAAGUUGGGGGAAGGCUUUAAUGGUUCAUUUAGAUGCAACACUAUCUGAAUAAACCUUUGAAAAAUCUGAAGUCCAAAACUGCUUGACCAGAGUUAGGCAUAAUGUGGCAUUUUUUCUGCCCUGAACAAAAGCAAUUGUCACUCAUCUCCCAAUUCCACCAUUUUGCUUUUUACAACUCUUCCUUUCUCACCUCAAUUUAUUGUAAGCGUUACUUGUUUUCUCUCACAAUUUAUUAUGGGGUUUUAUACUUCCCUAAUGUGAAAAGUGAGUUUGUUCUGAGCUUGGCCCCCUUGGAUAGGUGCUCUGUGUGAGAUGGGAACCACAGGCAUAGCUAUAGUGGUAUUUUCUGAAGUGUGGUGGCAUGCCCUUGGCAUUAGGGCCCCUCACCAGUACCAUUAGGGGCCCACAUGGUGGCUUCCAUGUCAAUGGCUUCUGUGUCAGGCUAGUGGCUUCCCUGUCAUGGUAGAAAAGCAACUGUGGUCUGAACUUUAAAGGAGCUAUCCAAGGUGCUAACUUUUCUCCCCAAAAUUUAGUUUAGCACAAAGUAUAUCUCCUUUUGGACAGUGAAGACAGCUGACAAAAGGAGAAUUCAUAUUUGAAAUGUGAUAGUGGAGGAGACGUCUGCAGAUAGCAUGGAUUGCCAAAAGGACAGAUCAAUGGGUCUUAGAGCAAACCAAGACUGAACUCCCUCUAGGAGCCAAAAUGUCUGUCAUAUAUGGAAGAUAUCAUGAGAUGCCAUGACUUAUUUCACAAACAGUGAAAAUGGUAAAGAGGGAGGCAUACGGAAAAGAGGUAAAAGAUAUUAUAAGUGAAUAAUCUCAGUCAAGGAAGCCCCUUCCUUGAGCUUGCAGAGCUAUUAUUAAUAUGAUAUUUUGAAGGUCUCUUGCUCUUGGAGUUUCCAUAAGGCAAAGCAGACUUCAGAGCACUUGGCAACAAUGAUAACAUAGGUAUUUUAAAAUUUAGAUUAAAAUUUUCAUGACAUUAGGGUGGUAAACCCAAAUUCAUCAUGUUGUUGACACAGAUGCCACUAGCCGCCACUAGCUACACAAUCACUUAUUCUGGGACCACCUCAAAGUUCAAAAUAGUACUGGUUUAACAAAUUUCUGCAGUAUAAAAAUCACCAGGCAAAAGGUUUUGGGGAGAUAAGUAUUACCAUGAGCAUCACAUUUUUAUGGAGAUACAUCAUAUUUCUGCAACAGACAUAAGACCCAGGCUGCCACCGAUGUUGGCAACCAUUCUCUAUUGAGAUUUGCUGGGAUACUUUUUCUGCAUUUGGCUCUCCCAGUCAGCUCAACCCCAUGACUGGCAGAGGCACAGUCUCAUUCAUGUCUAAAACUGAACGUGUACAGUGGGCUACUUAUUCCCAGAAAACUGCCCUUAGUGGGGGAAAUGACAUCACUGUUGCUGCUUGGAAAAAAAAAAACCUCACUUCAUUUCAAUAGGACAUACCUGAAAAACAGCAUGGUUAUUAUUGCUAUGUAUAUAUGAAAUCCAAAAUCAACAAACCAAAAAUCCACCCCCAAAAUAUGUUUAGAUUUGUUUUCAUCUUGAAUAUUCUUGCUAAUGUGAAGCCACAAGUCAUGUAUACAUGAACAAGCACAACUGGUGACUUGCUACCUAUUGUCACCUUUUAUGUGAAUGCAUUGGGGAGAAGAAAGAAGUUGCAAAAAGCAUUUUUGUUUCUGCUCUGUAUGCAGCUGUCACAUAUCUACAUUUUUCUUUUGCAUUGCUGUUGCUUAACUAGCUUCAGCAAGUAUGUCUUGCUUUCAUUCACACAUGCUCUUCUAUAUGUGGCCAGAAUUAGAUGACAGCUUCAUGUAUCCCACAUGCUGAGAAAUUUAGUAAUUUUAUGCUCAGAAAUUAAUAUUAAUAUGUAGUUCUCACUUUUCAGGUGAUGAUGCCUAGUAUUGCUUCAAUUCUGCUGAGAAAGUCUUUGGACAUUUGCUUCAAAGUUCAAGCUUAAUGGUACCACUGGUGUUAUAGCAGGAGCUCUAAAGAGUAGGCCACAGUAUAUCUGUUUAUCUCUAAGGUCAGAUGCAGCUUCUAGCUUUCAUAACAUGGACCAGUGCAUCAGAAUGGUAAAAUAGCUAUUAA
Long non-coding RNA from Anolis carolinensis (green anole), 3680 nucleotides. The record is from Ensembl. Lineage: Eukaryota; Metazoa; Chordata; Lepidosauria; Squamata; Anolidae.